This is a long non-coding RNA of Thalassophryne amazonica, 169 nucleotides long. RefSeq lists it as uncharacterized. NCBI's taxonomy places the organism in Eukaryota, Metazoa, Chordata, Actinopteri, Batrachoidiformes, Batrachoididae. The transcript is spliced from 2 exons. The record is from RefSeq and is a predicted model, not a curated record.
UUGAAUAUAUUAUCAACUUUUUAAUAUUGUUUGGUUAAAUUCCAUAUUAAUAAAUGCAGAGUAUUGAAAAGAAAUUUACACAGAUUUCUGGAUGAAUUUGAACAAUGUAUAAGCAGUAUUGAGCUUCUAGACUUCCAAAUGUUAUAAAACUGUCAUGCUCUAUAAGGAA